This 1024-nucleotide long non-coding RNA is filed under the name Malus domestica (apple). Its description in RNAcentral is "long non-coding RNA (MDOM_LNC014725)". The record is from RNAcentral. Lineage: Eukaryota; Viridiplantae; Streptophyta; Magnoliopsida; Rosales; Rosaceae.
CUCAUAUCACUGAUGUUAGACUCUUUUACAUUCACAUCCUCACAAACACGUGCCUUCACUUAUGACGAAUUUUUGAACCUAACACGUGGGCAACAAGAAUGACUCACAUGUGGUCGUUGGGCUUCACACGUGAGAUAAUCUGGUUGUGAUACCAUGAAAAAAUAAAAGUUCUACCAUAAAACCAAUUGGUAACUGCUUAUAAACACAUUCAAAGUCCUUUUUCUGAUAUAGGGGAUCCAAACUCCACCGUGCAAUUUAAUUGAUUUUAGGCAUAUUAAUAUUGGACUUUUUAAUCAAAAUAGUCCCUGCGAUUUGCAUAACUUCUCACUUUAGUCCCUGAGAUUUGAAAUUAAUAAAAGUAGUCCCUGAGUUUAUCAACCAUCAAUCAUUUUGGUCAUUUCAUGAAAAAUCUCCAUUAAAUAAGGCUAAAAUGAUAAAAAUACCAUCAAUAUUUGUCAAUUCAUUUUGCCCAUUGUUUAUUAAAUUGAUGGUGGUCCUUAUUUAAUAUAAAUUUUCCUUGAAUGACGAAAAUAAUUGAUAGUGGACAAACUCAAUGACCACUUCUAUUGAUUUCAAAUCUUAAAGACCAAAGUAAUGUGUUAUGCAAAUCUCAAUGAUCAUUUUGGCUAAAAAGCCUUAAUAUUUUGAUAUAAAGUCAUUGCUUUACCAUACCAUGGUUUGUAGUAAACUUAUAAGUGAUGAAUAAUGAUGGAAGCUUGCACUAACAUGCACAUAGUACUCUUUUAAUCAUCACUUUAUGCACACUAAAUAAUAUAUUUAUGUAUUUGUGUAUGUAUCAUUGUAUGCUUAAUAACCUACUUCAAUGAUCGACUCCGAUUCUAACUUUUCUUUUCCUUCCCAAUAUAUAUUCUCCUUUAUUUAUUUCAGCUAUAUUUAAUUUGUCUGGUAGAAGCUGAAGUGUCCAUCUCACUUUUUCUUUAAUUGCAGAUUUUGAUCACUUCUCCUGUAAACCAUCUGAGGUUAUUGAAGAAAAGAAUUAUACAGAAGCAAGAAUGAAGAAAGA